This 1179-nucleotide ribosomal RNA is filed under the name Triticum aestivum (bread wheat). RNAcentral's name for it is "partial small subunit ribosomal RNA". Lineage: Eukaryota; Viridiplantae; Streptophyta; Magnoliopsida; Poales; Poaceae. The record is from RNAcentral.
GUGUUAGGACGGCGACCGGAGGUGGGACAGCAGUUCGGUAGCACAGCCUCGAUCGUAAGGGGACGGGGGCUCGAGGUGGGGCUGUAGGUGGGCAGGAACGCGAGGUGGGGAAGGGGGUUCUGGCUUGGCGGCAGGAGCCCGGCGGGGGAGCUGUAGGUCGGCAGCAGGAACGGUUAGGGGCAAAGACGACGUCAGCCCCGGGGUAGAGGACCGAGGGCGACGACGGCGUGGACGACAACAGUCCCGAGGUAGAAACCCGAGAGCGACGACGGCCUGGACGACUUGCCCUGGACGACGACGACCCCUAGGUAGGGGAAGCUCAACGCGGGGAGAGCUUCGGUCGGCAGCGGCACGGGACUCACAGUAUGUCCACCUAUCAACAAGUUGUUUUACUAUAGACUUGAAGUUCGACCAUUCCUUUUCUCUACCACGUCUUCCUCGAAGUCGUCCGUGCUACCAAGCUGUUGGUGUUACAGCAUUCCGGUAGGGGUAACGGGCCAUUGUGAUAAAGUCGGCUCUUGGUGCUGACGGUCGUACGUCGUACUCGUUACCCAUAUCUUACCUACUGAUGGAGCGACCCUUUGUACCAACGCGUGCACGUCGUCUUUUGCUUACCCCCUACCUUUCCGAUGGAGUGGCCCUUGUUCCCGGUGCUGAACAUCACCCGUUGAUGAUCCGUAAAUCGGUCCACGUGUACCUGCACUACUGAAACGUCACGAAUACCUGGUUGGUUGGACAUUAGUACCCAGGAAUACACAGAAGUUCUAUUAAACUACAAAGCAGAUAAAACCUCGAACGUGAGACACGUACACCUAUGUAUGAACAAACCAGACCUCGAUCUGGUAGAUCGACUUCAGAGAGCAUGGUCAUUUAUCACGAGUAGGAAAACACUGAACACACUAGACCUCGAUCUGGUAGAUCGACUUCAGAGAGCAUGGUCGUUUAUCACGAGUAGGAAAACACUGAACACACAAGACCUCGAUCUGGUAGAUCGACUUCAGAGAGCAUGGCCGUUUAUCACGAGUAGGAAAACACUGAACACACAAGACCCACUAACAAUUCUACCAGUUUUGAUACGAAACAGUUCUAACAACACAAACAGUUGAACGCAAGCCACAUAUACGUACAAACACUUGUAUAAAAGUAAAAAUAUGUCAUACACAAGUAGAACUUGGACGA